UGGGGAAUAUUGCACAAUGGGCGCAAGCCUGAUGCAGCCAUGCCGCGUGUAUGAAGAAGGCCUUCGGGUUGUAAAGUACUUUCAGCGAGGAGGAAGGCAGUCGUGUUAAUAGCACGAUUGAUUGACGUUACUCGCAGAAGAAGCACCGGCUAACUCCGUGCCAGCAGCCGCGGUAAUACGGAGGGUGCAAGCGUUAAUCGGAAUUACUGGGCGUAAAGCGCACGCAGGCGGUCUGUCAAGUCGGAUGUGAAAUCCCCGGGCUCAACCCGGGAACUGCAUUCGAAACUGGCAGGCUAGAGUCUUGUAGAGGGGGGUAGAAUUCCAGGUGUAGCGGUGAAAUGCGUAGAGAUCUGGAGGAAUACCGGUGGCGAAGGCGGCCCCCUGGACAAAGACUGACGCUCAGGUGCGAAAGCGUGGGGAGCAAACA
RNAcentral lists this ribosomal RNA (427 nucleotides) under uncultured Tatumella sp. RNAcentral describes it as "bacterial SSU rRNA". It matches the Rfam family "Bacterial small subunit ribosomal RNA", at positions 355 to 774 of the family's 1533-position model. The record is from RNAcentral. Lineage: Bacteria; Pseudomonadati; Pseudomonadota; Gammaproteobacteria; Enterobacterales; Erwiniaceae.